UACGUAGGUGGCAAGCGUUGUCCGGAAUUAUUGGGCGUAAAGCGCGCGCAGGUGGUUCCUUAAGUCUGAUGUGAAAGCCCACGGCUCAACCGUGGAGGGUCAUUGGAAACUGGGGAACUUGAGUGCAGAAGAGGAAAGUGGAAUUCCACGUGUAGCGGUGAAAUGCGUAGAGAUGUGGAGGAACACCAGUGGCGAAGGCGCUCUGCUGGACCAUAACUGACACUCAGGGACGAAAGCUAGGGGAGCGAAUGGG
RNAcentral lists this ribosomal RNA (253 nucleotides) under uncultured bacterium. Its description in RNAcentral is "partial 16S ribosomal RNA". It matches the Rfam family "Bacterial small subunit ribosomal RNA", at positions 524 to 776 of the family's 1533-position model. The record is from RNAcentral.